RNAcentral lists this ribosomal RNA (501 nucleotides) under uncultured bacterium. Its description in RNAcentral is "partial 16S ribosomal RNA". It matches the Rfam family "Bacterial small subunit ribosomal RNA", at positions 30 to 523 of the family's 1533-position model. The record is from RNAcentral.
AUUGAACGCUGGCGGCAGGCUUAACACAUGCAAGUCGAGCGGAGAUGAGGUGCUUGCACCUUAUCUUAGCGGCGGACGGGUGAGUAAUGCUUAGGAAUCUGCCUAUUAGUGGGGGACAACAUUCCGAAAGGAAUGCUAAUACCGCAUACGUCCUACGGGAGAAAGCAGGGGAUCUUCGGACCUUGCGCUAAUAGAUGAGCCUAAGUCGGAUUAGCUAGUUGGUGGGGUAAAGGCCUACCAAGGCGACGAUCUGUAGCGGGUCUGAGAGGAUGAACCGCCACACUGGGACUGAGACACGGCCCAGACUCCUACGGGAGGCAGCAGGGGGGAAUAUUGGACAAUGGGGGGAACCCUGAUCCAGCAAUGCCGCGUGUGUGAAGAAGGCCUUAUGGUUGUAAAGCACUUUAAGCGAGGAGGAGGCUACUGAGACUAAUACUCUUGGAUAGUGGACGUUACUCGCAGAAUAAGCACCGGCUAACUCUGUGCCAGCAGCCGCCGUAA